CAAGUCGAGCGGCAAGUCGAGGAGUAAUCUGAGACCUAGAGCGGCGCACGGGUGCGUAACGCGUAUGCAACCUACCUUAUACUGGGGGAUAGCCCGGAGAAAUCUGGAUUAAUACCCCAUGGUACAUAUUGAGGGCAUCUGAGAUAUGUUAAAGAUUUAUUGGUAUGAGAUGGGCAUGCGUCUGAUUAGCUAGUUGGCGGGGUAACGGCCCACCAAGGCGACGAUCAGUAGGGGUUCUGAGAGGAAGGUCCCCCACACUGGCACUGAGAUACGGGCCAGACUCCUACGGGAGGCAGCAGUAGGGAAUAUUGGGCAAUGGUCGGAAGACUGACCCAGCCAUGCCGCGUGCAGGAAGGCGGCCCUCUGGGUUGUAAACUGCUUUUAUCUGGGAAGAAAAAGGCCAUGCGUGGCAAAUUGCCGGUACCAGAUGAAUAAGCACCGGCUAACUCCGUGCCAGCAGCCGCGGUAAUACGGAGGGUGCAAGCGUUGUCCGGAUUUAUUGGGUUUAAAGGGUGCGUAGGCGGCUAUUUAAGUCAGCGGUGAAAGACUCCGGCUUAACCGGAGCAGUGCCAUUGAUACUGGAUAGCUUGAGUGUUGGAGGGGUACAUGGAAUUGAUGGUGUAGCGGUGAAAUGCAUAGAU
RNAcentral lists this ribosomal RNA (641 nucleotides) under uncultured freshwater bacterium. Its description in RNAcentral is "bacterial SSU rRNA". It matches the Rfam family "Bacterial small subunit ribosomal RNA", at positions 58 to 695 of the family's 1533-position model. The record is from RNAcentral.